This 148-nucleotide non-coding RNA is filed under the name Pan troglodytes (chimpanzee). The record is from Rfam by way of RNAcentral. Lineage: Eukaryota; Metazoa; Chordata; Mammalia; Primates; Hominidae.
GCCAGGUGUGGUGGCGCAUGCCUGUAGUCCCAGCUACUCGGGAGGCUGAGGCAGGAGAAUCGCUUGAACCCAGGAGGCGGAGCUUGCAGUGAGCCGAGAUUGUGCCACUGCACUCCAGCCUGGGUGACAGAGAGAGACUCUGUCUCAA